UUGGUAAAGGGCUUCCAAUCAUUCGCUAUGUGUUGGUCCCUAGACCUAUUUCUUUCCCUAGGUCUGGUUUUAUAAAUAUUGGUGAUAAAC
Small nucleolar RNA from Hippopotamus amphibius kiboko, 90 nucleotides. RefSeq annotates it as small nucleolar RNA SNORA72. The transcript has a single exon. NCBI's taxonomy places the organism in Eukaryota, Metazoa, Chordata, Mammalia, Artiodactyla, Hippopotamidae. The record is from RefSeq and is a predicted model, not a curated record.